ACCAUGGCAAGUCGAACGGGCAGCACGGCCGGGUAACCGGUGGGUGGCGAGUGGCGGACGGGUGAGUAAUGCGUAGGAAUCUGCCUUGUAGUGGGGGAUAACUCGGGGAAACUCGGGCUAAUACCGCAUACGCUCUACGGAGGAAAGCGGGGGAUCUUCGGACCUCGCGCUAUGAGAUGAGCCUACGUCCGAUUAGCUAGUUGGCAGGGUAAUGGCCUACCAAGGCGACGAUCGGUAGCUGGUCUGAGAGGACGAUCAGCCACACUGGAACUGAGACACGGUCCAGACUCCUACGGGAGGCAGCAGUGGGGAAUAUUGGACAAUGGGCGCAAGCCUGAUCCAGCAAUGCCGCGUGUGUGAAGAAGGCCUGCGGGUUGUAAAGCACUUUAAGCAGGGAAGAAGGGUGGGGGGUUAAUACCCUCUCACAUUGACGUUACCUGCAAAAUAAGCACCGGCUAACUCCGUGCCAGCAGCCGCGGUAAUACGGAGGGUGCUAGCGUUAAUCGGAAUUACUGGGCAUAAA
Molecule: ribosomal RNA, 523 nt
Filed under: methanotrophic bacterium
Lineage: Bacteria; Pseudomonadati; Pseudomonadota; Alphaproteobacteria
Also listed under: 1 other name
Description: bacterial SSU rRNA
Rfam family: Bacterial small subunit ribosomal RNA
Source: RNAcentral